This is a non-coding RNA of Macaca mulatta (Rhesus monkey), 775 nucleotides long. The record is from RefSeq and is a predicted model, not a curated record. Lineage: Eukaryota; Metazoa; Chordata; Mammalia; Primates; Cercopithecidae.
AACCAGUCACAGCUUUCGGUCCAGGAGCGCUCCAGGCAAUCGAGCCAAUUAGUGUCUCGGAAACAUUUCCUACGUCGCUGAUUGUUGGAGACUCCGCACAGACUGGUUCCUCCUCUGCGCUGGGAAUUGAGUACUAUGCCAGGAGGUGUAGGCAGAGCAGCCAAAGGAGAGCCUGAAGACUGACUUGACGUUCACUUUAACAGAAAUUUAUCCGAAAGAGUCGAGAAUUUCAGGAGAGGAAUGUGCGUUGUGUAGACAAAUGAAGUCCCAUUCUCCAAGGGAGCAACCACUCUGCAUCCCUGCCCGACCCGCCGACUUCCUCCUGAGUGUCCUAAGGCUCAAGAAAUGUGGCCUCCUCUUCCCUGAAACUCCACUGUGGCCUUCCAACUAAUGUUCUUUUCCACUUGGAAGGUAUCCUAGGUGUCAGGCAUAGGAUGAGCCCGUAUUACUUGGUUCCCGUGCCCUUUCUACCAAAGCAGACCCUGGAUCUUUUUCUGGCGUUUAAUCUCACUUAAGGUCCCAAAUGACUGUUGCUAAUGUUGUAUGGAGUGAUCCCAUCGAAGGCCAGGGCCCGUUGCUUACUCAGGAUGCCUUAUCCCAGUUACUGAUCAGCGGAAGAAAUCCUUUCACCUGCCUUGACGAAUCCUUACACCACAUGACCGAGCUCUGGUUUUCAACCUUGUCUCCAAAAUGACAUAAUCACCACUGGAACACAUAAUUUUCUUUUGCUCUUUUUGAUUGCUCUUUGUUACCUUGAUAUUUGUUUCUUGCUGUA